UUUGCUCCGGCUAGAUUUUGCCAAGCUGAUCUUGAUGACACUUUCUUCUGAGCUGUUCUUUUGGAGUAUUUUUUGUCGCGCUAUUUUUUGAAGCAUUUCAUGGCACUCUUUGUCGAGCUUUUUGUGGCGGGUUGCUCUCCCUAGCAUCUGUUGCCGAGCUGGUUGUGCCAAGCUGCUCUUUGAGGUGGUUUUUUUUUUUUCUUUUUUUUUGCCGAGCUGCCCUUCGAGUUACUUUUUGUCGAACUGUUUGGCCGAGUUGAUCUUCGAGGCAAUACUUGCCGAGUUGGCUGUGCCGAGCCACCCUUCGAGGCACUUUAUGCCAAGCUGCCCUUUGAGGCACUUUUUGCCGAGCUAUUCUUCGAGACAUUUUUUGUUGAGUUAGGCUUAAUGGCUUUUCUUACUGAGUUGGCUGUGCUGAGUUGUUCUUCAAGGCACUUUUUGCCGAGUUAGUUGUUCUGAGUUGCUCUUCGAGGCAUUUUUUGUCGAGCUGGUUUGUGUCAAACCGCUCUUAAUGGCUUUUCUUGCUGAGUUGGCUGUGCUAAGCUACUCUUUGAGGCACUUUUUGCCGAGCUAGCUGUGCCGAGCUGCUCUUCGAGGCAUUUUUGCUAAGCUACACUCUUUGUUUGCAUGUGAGCUUUGUUCUGCUAAUGAGCUCUGCUAAUUUGUUAGCUGUUGUGCGGCCUCACGAGCUGUGCUCGUCAAUUGGGUCUUAUUUGUCUAAUGAGUUGUGCUUAUUUGUUGGGUUGUUGUGUAGCCUCACGAGCUGUGCUCGUUAAUCGGGCCUUGUUUGCCUAGUGAGGUGUGCUCAUUUGUUGGGCUGUUGCGCGGCCUUAUGAGUUGUGCUCGUCAAUUAGGCCUUGUUUGCCUAAUGGGCAGUCAAUCUGACCGCUUUGAAGCGAGUUGAAGUUUUUUUCGAUGUCCGCCGUCUUGCAAAAUUUUAAUAAAUACUUGUCAAAUCGGUUGUACCUCGAGAAGUAAAAAAUUCUAGCACCAUGUCAGCGUAUGUAUGGGGAUUUGAUAUCUUUUCCCUUGAGAUGCACACCUUGUUGAUGCGUUCCCGGCUUCUUGAGAUGCUAAUUUUCUCGGGGAUUCAUGUAGGCUUUCUAUAUAAAGGUCGUGGGCUCCCUCAUUUGCUUCUCAUCUCAUCCAAGGGACCUUUUUGGCUUCUAGGUACGCUCUCCUUCUACCCUUGGCUGCUUUUCUCUGCUUUUGUGUGACAUUGUAUGUUUGUCUUGUUCUUCAUGUUCUUCGUUGUUCUUAUGAGAAGUUUGCUUUUUUGAUCUUUUUCUGCAUAGUGUCUGUCAUGUUUUUAUACAAAAUCUACUCGUUUGAUCUUGUUUCGCACAGUAUCUUCUGUGUUUUUGUGGGAAGUUCACCUGUUUGAUCUAUUUGUAUACUUGCAUAAAUUGCUUGUUUCGUAUUUCGAUUUUGUCAUGGAGUUCUCGGCUCCCCCAGCGAGGGCUCCCGUCACGGUGAGGAGUGCUAGGUGUGAUUUGUCCUCCUCAGACAUACAGAAUGUCCGCUACUUCUUUGCUAUUCCUGCAAACAUUAGUAUUAGGUUACCUACUAGCUCGGAGUCGGCUCUUGAUCCUAGCCCCAGUGAACUCUAUUUGUAAACAGACUAUUUGGACUUAGGACUUAGACUUCCUUUUCUUCCUUUCAUUUCUGAGGUGUUACGUUUUUACUGCAUAGCCCCUUUGCAGCUUAUUCUGAACUUGUACCUUUCUAUGGUGUGUUUUGCUGUCCUCCUGCUCAGAAAAGGUCAUCAGCCCACAGUGUCUCUUUCAGAGCUGCUUCCAGAUGAGGACGCACUUUGUGGAGAAGGAACUAUACUACUUCAACUUUUUGUCGGAUUAUAAACUUUUUACUUUGGGCAGCUCUUCUAUUCACGAUUGGAAGUUUCGAUACUUCUUUGCAUCCGGAGAGUUGAAUCAUAUUGGGCCUCGCGUUUGGUCUGCUCCUCUUAAUGGUGAUGUUCUCUUCACUUUAUUUACUUACUACGUAUGUAGGAGUUAUGUGUAGGUACAUGUUGCUUACUUGUUUUUUCGUUUUCUUUUAGCUCGGGUGCGUCAUAUACUUCCGACGCUGUCUCCCGCUGAGCAGGCCACUCUAAAAGAGCUACGAGCCCUUGGUCGACAAGGGAUAGUCCCUCACGAGGAGCUGCUCAAGGAAUAUAGAGUUUAACAAGUACGAAUUUCUCAUGGGUGAAGCUAAGAAACAAAGGGCGAGCAGGAGUACGAAGAAGAGGAAGGAGCUCGAGGGGGAGCUGUCUCAGAGGGAAGCGGCCAUUGUAAGCGAGAGUGAGCCUCUUGCUGCGUAGAAUGUUGCGGCAGCGCAUCUUCCUAGUCCGACCGUGUUUAAUGAAGCUAUCUUUCCCGAGCCGACCCGUUCUGCUCCUGCGCUGCAUAGGGCGGUUCACUUGGAGGAUUUUGUUUGGCGACCAUGACCUUGGCCGAGGAAAAAAAGGUUACCGAGAUGUACCGGCAGACCUUGGAUGCCAGAGAAAAGUACGUUGUUGCCCAGAAUGAUCCCCGUGAGGCCAAGUUUCGCGAGCGGGUCCUUUAGGAAGAAAUUGAAAGGAUCUGAAAGGAGGAGGUUCUUGCUGCUGCUACGGUUCUUGCUGCUGAUGCUGUCAGAGCUGCGGUGAGGGAGUAUAAGGAUUCAUCAUGGUUCAUCAUGGACACUGCCAAAACUUAUCGUGUAGGUUUCAGGAGGUGCUGGGAGCAGGUCAGGACCAUGCACCCUGACCUUCUUGGUGGUGUGUGUUCACAUGGGUACGGUCGUGAGAGUCCUGAGUUCGUAGACGAGAUGAACGAGGUGGAUGAGGUGGAGAAAGAGGUUGCAGAGGGAGGCAAAGCCAACUGAUCUACUGAAUAGUCCAACUUCAUAGUUUUAUUCAAUAUGAUGUAAUGCACUUUUGAGUUUCUUGGUUGUACAACUUUUGUAUUUGAGACUUACUAUUCCGUUGUACAACAGUUGGUGAAAUGAAAAAGUCAAAGAGUAAUAUUUUUUCAGCA
This is a long non-coding RNA of Malania oleifera, 3017 nucleotides long. RefSeq lists it as uncharacterized. NCBI's taxonomy places the organism in Eukaryota, Viridiplantae, Streptophyta, Magnoliopsida, Santalales, Ximeniaceae. The record is from RefSeq and is a predicted model, not a curated record. The transcript is spliced from 3 exons.